UACAGAGGGUGCGAGCGUUAAUCGGAAUUACUGGGCGUAAAGAGUGCGUAGGCUGUUUGGUAAGUCGAGCGUGAAAUCCCCGAGCUUAACUUGGGAAUUGCGUUCGAUACUGUCAGGCUAGAGUAUGGCAGAGGCAAGUGGAAUUUCCGGUGUAGCGGUGAAAUGCGUAGAUAUCGGAAGGAACACCAGUGGCGAAGGCGACUUGCUGGGCCAAUACUGACGCUGAGGCACGAAAGCGUGGGGAGCAAACAGG
RNAcentral lists this ribosomal RNA (253 nucleotides) under uncultured bacterium. RNAcentral's name for it is "partial 16S ribosomal RNA". It matches the Rfam family "Bacterial small subunit ribosomal RNA", at positions 524 to 776 of the family's 1533-position model. The record is from RNAcentral.